Molecule: unclassified non-coding RNA, 367 nt
Filed under: soil metagenome
Description: partial contains 5.8S ribosomal RNA, internal transcribed spacer 2, and large subunit ribosomal RNA
Rfam family: 5.8S ribosomal RNA (bases 1-122)
Source: RNAcentral
GAUGAAGAACGUAGCGAAAUGCGAUACUUGGUGUGAAUUGCAGAAUCCCGUGAACCAUCGAGUCUUUGAACGCAAGUUGCGCCUCAAGCCGUUAGGCCGAGGGCACGCCUGCCUGGGUGUCACACAUCGUUGCCCCAAUGCCAAUCGCCUCACUUUGUAGGUAUUUGCUUGGGGUGAAUGUUGGCCUCCCGUGAGCUUUGUCUCACGGUUGGUUGAAAAUCGAGUGCAUGGUGUCGGGUGUACCAUGAUGGAUGGUGGUUGAGUGAUGAUGCUCGGUGACCCACAUGCGUCCCUUGGAUGCUCCCUAAGGAGACCUCAGGUCAGGCGGGGCUACCCACUGAGUUUAAGCAUAUCAAUAAGCGGAGGA